CCUAGUAACGGCGAGUGAAGCGGGAUGAGCUCAAAUUUAAAAUCUGGCUGGUUUACUAGUCCGAAUUGUAGUUUAUAGAAGCGUUUUCGGUGGCAGCCUGGGUAUAAAUCCUUUGGAAUAGGGUAUCAUAGAGGGUGAGAAUCCCGUCUUUGACUCAGUGCAUGCUACUAUGUGAUACGUUUUCAAAGAGUCGAGUUGUUUGGGAAUGCAGCUCAAAAUGGGUGGUAAAUUUCAUCUAAAGCUAAAUAUUGGCGAGAGACCGAUAGCGAACAAGUACCGUGAGGGAAAGAUGAAAAGAACUUUGAAAAGAGAGUUAAACAGUGCGUGAAAUUGUUGAAAGGGAAACGUUUGACACCAGUUAUGCGGGUGGAAAAUCAGUCUUUUGCAAUGGGGAGUUGUGGGCGUUCAGACCGCAAGGCUGGCGUUUGCUUCAUCUUUGUUGUAAGUGAUGCACUUUUUCAUUUGCAGGUCAACAUCAGUUUGCUUUGCUGGACAAAACCCCAAGGGAAGGUGGCAGCUUAGGCUGUGUUAUAGCCCUGGGGCGAUACAGUGGAGUGGACUGAGGUUUCGCAGUGUGUGCUCUCGGGCAAGGCUGACUGGGUGCUAUGGGAUCGUUCGGCGUACAAUGCAUGCAUUUUGCGUCGUGUCUUUUUCAUACUCGCUCAACUCGGCUCUUCCACACUUAGGAUGUUGACUUAAUGGUUUUAAACGACCCGUCUUGAAACACGGACCAAGGAGUCUAACAUAUAUGCAAGUGUUUGGGUGGCAAACCCAUGCGCGUAAUGAAAGUGAACGUAGGUGCGAUCCGCAAGGUGCAGCAUCGACCGAUCUUGAUAUUUUUGGAUAGAUUUGAGUAAGAGCAUAUAUGCUGGGACCCGAAAGAUGGUGAACUAUGCCUGAAUAGGGUGAAGCCAGAGGAAACUCUGGUGGAGGCUCGUAGCGAUUCUGACGUGCAAAUCGAUCGUCAAAUUUGG
RNAcentral lists this ribosomal RNA (974 nucleotides) under Mortierella sp. MEL 2384999. RNAcentral describes it as "LSU rRNA". It matches the Rfam family "Eukaryotic large subunit ribosomal RNA", at positions 79 to 914 of the family's 3401-position model. Lineage: Eukaryota; Fungi; Mortierellomycota; Mortierellomycetes; Mortierellales; Mortierellaceae. The record is from RNAcentral.